Molecule: unclassified non-coding RNA, 253 nt
Filed under: uncultured bacterium
Lineage: Bacteria
Description: contains 16S-23S intergenic spacer region
Rfam family: Bacterial small subunit ribosomal RNA
Source: RNAcentral
UACAGAGGGUGCGAGCGUUAAUCGGAUUUACUGGGCGUAAAGCGUGCGUAGGCGGCUUUUUAAGUGGGAUGUGAAAUCUCCAUGCUUAACUUGGGAAUUGCAUUCGAUACUGGGAAGCUAGAGUAUGGGAGAGGAAGGUAGAAUUCCAGGUGUAGCGGUGAAAUGCGUAGAGAUCUGGAGGAAUACCGAUGGCGAAGGCAGCCAACUGGACUAAUACUGACGCUGAGGUACGAAAGCGUGGGGAGCAAACAGG